GUAGUCUCGCACAGAUGCAUAUCAAUAAGCGGAGGAAAAGAAACUAACAAGGAUUCCCCUAGUAACGGCGAGUGAAGCGGGAAGAGCUCAAAUUUGAAAUCUUAAAGGGUUUCCCUUUACGAAUUGUAGUUUAAAGAAGUGUUUUCUGUUGAAGGUUUUGGUAAAAGUUCUUUGGAAUAGGACAUCAUAGAGGGUGAGAAUCCCGUAUUUGACCAUUUACUUUUCAACUUUGUGAUACACUUUCAAAGAGUCGGAUUGUUUGGGAAUGCAAGUCCAAAAUGGGUGGUAAAUUUCAUCUAAAGCUAAAUAUUGGCGAGAGACCGAUAGCGAACAAGUACCGUGAGGGAAAGAUGAAAAGAACUUUGAAAAGAGAGUUAAACAGUACGUGAAAUUGUCAAAAGGGAAGCGUUUGACACCAGUGUUGUUUUCUCGAAAAUCAAUUAAAAAGAGUUAGAUUUUGUUGUGUAUUGACCUUAACAGCUUGCAUUUCAAUUUUCUUGCUUUUUUUAAUGCACUUUUCGUUUAACAAGUCAACAUCAGUUUCUUUUGUUGUAAAAAGGUCAUUGGAAGGUGGCUUUCUUUUCGGAGAAAGUGUUUAUAGCCUUUGACUCCUGCAAUCGGAGAGACUGAGGUCUGCAGCGUAGAUCCUUCGGGGUUAGAUACAUUUGUGCUAAGUUAUAGCUUUUUAUAGACAACUUGUUGACUAUGAUUAGUCUUGUAGCUUACUCGCUUAUGCUAUUUUACCUACGCUUAGGAUGUUGAGCGCAUGUCUCUCUCU
This 778-nucleotide ribosomal RNA is filed under the name uncultured Neocallimastigales. Its description in RNAcentral is "partial large subunit ribosomal RNA". It matches the Rfam family "Eukaryotic large subunit ribosomal RNA", at positions 24 to 616 of the family's 3401-position model. The record is from RNAcentral. Lineage: Eukaryota; Fungi; Neocallimastigomycota; Neocallimastigomycetes; Neocallimastigales.